This is a non-coding RNA of Pangasianodon gigas (Mekong giant catfish), 73 nucleotides long. NCBI's taxonomy places the organism in Eukaryota, Metazoa, Chordata, Actinopteri, Siluriformes, Pangasiidae. The record is from the annotation of a GenBank genome assembly.
GGCACAGUGGCUUAGUGGUUAGCACUGUUGCCUCGCACCUCCAGGGUUGGAGGUUCAGUUCCUGCCUCUGCCC